This 19606-nucleotide long non-coding RNA is filed under the name Phaseolus vulgaris (common bean). RNAcentral describes it as "long non-coding RNA (PVUL_LNC002850)". Lineage: Eukaryota; Viridiplantae; Streptophyta; Magnoliopsida; Fabales; Fabaceae. The record is from RNAcentral.
GAAAUACAUAAAGUAAAAUCAAAAUAUCACAAUCCACAGAUAAAAACAAAAUGCACAAAUCGAAUUGCAAUGCAAACGAAACAAACCUGCGGAUCUUUGGCAUUGUUAAAAAACGGAGAAGCAGUAUGAAACACAGCGUGAACACCUUCAACGGCAGAGUCAAAGGAACCUUCUUCUAGAAGAUUCGCCUUCACGAGAUGCAACCUCUCCUUGGCACCAUCAAGGUUAAGCAAGUGAUCAACCUUACUGGAAUUAUCUGCACAUCACAAAUUAUCCAAACUUUAAUUUUCGAAAUAGUAAUCAGCAUCAGCAUCACCACAAAUAAUCACCGACGAAAACAAAAAGUUAUGGAAGACAAAAGAAAGCACAUACUUGGAUCGCGAACGGUGGCCUUAACAGUGUAACCGCGUUCGAGAAGAAACUUGACGACCCAGGAAGCAAUGUAACCGGAAGCACCGGUGACACACACUACUUGUCCAGCUCCGGUGCUCAUUCUGGAUUAUGUUCUUCUACUCUGAGAUGAUUCUCUCUGUUGAGUGUUGUUGUUCUGUGUUAUGUUGACUCAAUCACAAACAAACUCACCUUUUUUUAAAGAACCAAAAAAAGUUUGCGUUUUCAAUUUGGAAAGGUUUUACUGGGGGCGUUUCCAUCUGAAUAGGUGUCCGUGGGCCAUUUCCAAAUAUAUCCAAAACCAUGAUUUUAAAAUACAGAGUAUCAUAACACGUAUCAUCAUAUAAAUUUUUAAAUUAUGACUUGCAAAUAAAUUUUUCAUCAUAAAAAUAAAAGACAUUUCUAUCAACACUAAACAUAAUGUAGCUAUUAUAAGAAUAUUUUACUAAAAUAAAAUUAAAUAUAUUUUUCGUCUUCUCUAAAAAAAGUCUAUAAUCUAAAUUUUAGAAGUUUUUUUUUAAUAAAAAAAAACUAUUGAAAUGUGAUAAAUAGAUUUUAAUUAUAGAUUAGGAGGUUAGAAUAUUUUGUGUUAAUUUAACGCUAACACGUGUUAAUAUCAUAAUAAGAAAAAACACGGUUAAACUAAAAUCUUAAAAUGAUUCAUUUAGAUUCUAUUUCACGUGGUUGUGGUUGAUAUAAUAUUAUAAUAACAAAAUAGUGAUAAUGAUUCAUUAUAAUAGUUGUUAUUAUAAAUACUCUAAAAUUUAAAUUAAAACAAAACAAAUUUGGUGGGACAAAAAGAAGAUAUUUAAUUCUUAAAACAAAAAUCAUAAGUAGAUAAGGCAAUUAAACUGUGAAACAUAAAUGAAAGAAAGAGACGUGGAUUAAUAGAAAUCCAUAACAUAUUAUUGAGAAUGCGACCCCAAAAGUCUGGGAAGAAGCAAAAAUAGUGUUGAUUUGAAGAGUACAUUGAGCCGUAACAUGCAAGAUUUGGUUAUGUUUAUUUUUUGGUGACGUUGUAUGCAGAUAACGUUUUAGUCUCAACUGUCUAAACUACAAAACAAUAUUAAAUAUCAUAUUGUACUUAUAAAGAUUUAUACUUAGACCGGGUCCAGUCUAGGUAAGAAUGACGCAUUCGUUGACGUUAAGAUUUUAUAAUGUUUUAUGCGCUGCCUUCAAAUUUUAGUAUUCUAUUUCUUUAUUUUUCUAUAAAUAAAUAAAUAAUAAACGAAUAAAUUUUAGUUUAGAGAUUUGUAAGAAAAAUAUUUUGAUUCCUCUAACAUUAAAAUAAUUAAUUUUAAAUUUUUAAUAUUUGUAUUAAACUAAACUAUGCGAUUAAACAAUGAAUAGUUAAAAACACAGGUGAAUUGGUUUAAAGAAUAUUUUCUUAUAUUUUAUGAGAUAAUAGAUUAUUUUUUAUUUAUAAUCGAUUAUAUAUAUAAACAAACAUUUUAAAUUUAGUUAAAAUAAUUAAUUAUUCACUGUUUAUUUGCAAGAAGAAACAUUUUAGAUAUAAUUGAUAUAAUCAGUUAUUUAUUGUUCGUCGACUAUAUACGAAAAUAUACAUAUAUUUUAGAUUUAAUUAACAUAAUUAAUUGUUAAAUUUUUAUAAUCUAUUAUCUACAAAAUAUAGUGAAAUUUAUGCGUGGUUUAACUUUAGGUAAUUGAUUAUAAUUUUAAUAUAAUUAAUUAUUAUGUUUAGAAAAAUAUAAAACCAGUUUUUUUAAAAUUCAAAAUUGUUAAAGAUUAUUUUAAAGAUGGAUUAUUUUUUACAUUUUAUUAUAGUAAAAUAAUGAACAAUUGAUAAAUGAAUCAUCGAUGAUAAGUUCAACACCAUCAAAAUCAAUACAUCAUAGUUUGGUAAAAUUUAAAAGUAUUAAAAUUGUAGUGUACUAUGAUAUCAAGUUACAUAAACACAUCUAGAAGUUCUAUGAUUAAUUAUCAUUUAUUUAUUUAGAAGCAAAUAUUGAGAAUUAAAUUUAAGAAUUAUAAAAAUACAAAUACAAAUUAGAAAAAUAAACUAAUAUUUUUAUAAAAAUAUAUUGGUUUUAAAAUUUAUAGAAAAAUACUAUAAAAAAAGCUUAAUAAUGUAAGAAUUAAAAAUGUAUUCAUACUAAAAGUAAAUAGUUUUGUAACAAUUUGUCUAAAUGGUUAAAGUUCUUAUUCUCAUCUAGUUUAUCAUUUCUCAUUGAUAGAAUGUGUAAAUAUAUUUUCUUGCAAAUUACGAAUCUAAACACAUAGAAGUAAACAUAAAUGUGAGAAAAUUACUUAUAAAAAAGUUUGUCUCUUUUAUGUUCUUUUUCGCUAUUAAAAUAGUUUACAUGUACACUAAAAUGUUUCUAAGCAUACUUUUUUAUGAAUUCUGAGUCCAUCUUACAAGAAUCCCUUAUAGGAGUGUGAUAAAACAAGUAAAUAUUUUUGUCAAUAUUUUUAAUAUUUUUUGUAAUAUUUUAUAUUAGAAUAGAUAAUUAGUUAAGUUUUUUUAUAGCCUUUAAUUAUAUUGAUAGUGUUUUAUAUAAUGAAAUCUUUGAAUGAAAUAAAAUCACAAAAUAAUUUCAUUACUUCUCUCUCCAUUUUUUAAAUGUUACCAACUACUCCCUCUUAUCAACAACUCGUCCCUACCAUUACAUCCAACUCUUAUCUUCUUCCCUUUUAAAUUCAAAAUUUGCACUUUUCAUAACAUGUAAGGUUCUUAUAGCUUAUGUAAGAGAUGCAACUUCCCAACGGAACGUAAAAUAAAUACAUAAAUAAUAAAAGUUUAAAUUCACGAAAGUAUUAGUUUUUUUAAUAUAAAAUAAUAUUAAUAAAAUAUUAAAUUUAUGUGAUUCUGCAUUGUGUUGCAUUUUCUGCUAUGACUAAUGUUUCUUGGAUGUUUUGUAAUAGGUGAAACACUUAUCUUAACAACCAUGGAAAAAUCAGGUUUAAGGUUUCUCACAUUUAUUGUUAAGGGAAUCAAUAUACUAAUAAGGUUGUUAACUUAGGCUUUAUUCAUAAAAAGUAUUUUCAUUGAUAUAAUAAACUUUCAUCUAGUUUUUUAUUAAUAGAUAUAAAUUCCUUAUGUACCGUUUUUGUUAAUAUAUGAGUUUUGGUCUAAUAUUUCAUAUUUUCUUUUAUUUUUCUAAUUUUUUUUUUUAAUAAUAUUUUUUUCCAUAUAAUCACAAAUGAUUGUUGUUUAUUGAAGUGUUAGCCUAACUGAGAUAUCAAGUUCAUAAUGAUAUCUAAUAUAAAAGUUCUAAAAAAUAUUAUUAUUAUUUUUACUAUUUUAUUAUAAUAUAAUAUGAUUAGAAAUAAUUAAUUAUUAUUUACGUUUAUGUAUUUUAAUUAUUUAUUAUGUUACAAUAAAAAUGAAAUAUUUUAUUAUACUUUAUUUGAAAUUAAUCAAUUAUGUAAUUUAUAUAUGUAUUUUUUAUUGGGAAGCGGGAAGCUAAUAAAUUGUAUUUAAUUUGUGGUGAUUCUGCGCCUGAGUUAGUGGUCUUUGGGUCCUUCUUUUUGGUCGGUUAUCGGAAAAAGAGGGUCCAAUAGGGACGAAACAAUUGUAAGAGUACACGUGAUUCACGUACAAUGAAACUAUUGGAUUAUCAACUUUCCACGUCACAUUGCAUGUCUUUUACUCCUUUAUUGAAAGCAACGUUUUAAUUGUAAAAUUGCAUCAGAUCUAUUCCUUAUUUCUGAUAACCAAUAAGUAUAUGGGGAAUGUAUUUGGGUGCAAUUUAAGGCAAAAGCACCAAAAUGCUGCAAUUCCUGUUCAAAAUUAUUAGAAUGGAAAAAGAAAAAGUCAUUGUAGAAAUAGGUAAGUGUUAAGACAAAAGCACAAGUUUGUUUUAUUGAUGUUUUUCUAUAUUUGUGGUGUGGAGUUUGAACAUGAAUUUAAUUAACGACAAAAUGUUAUUGACAUAAACGAUUUUAGUUGGGUAUGUACAGCAAGACUUUAGUUUUGUAAAAGAAAUAUUUUUUUAAAUGAAAUUAUUAAUUAAAUUGUUAAAAAUUUGACAAAUUUUUUAUUUAUUUAUUUGAGAAAGAUUUAGUUAUUUUUUAAUUUAAAAAUUAAUUGAAAAAUAAUGUUAAAAUCCUAAACAAUACACUAUAAAAUAUAAACUUUAAAGAAGAUGUCAGAGGUGAACCUUAAAUCUUAAACUCAAAGAUAAAAACUCUAAAACAUAAAAUGUAAACCGUAAAAUGUAAAACUAGUGUGAACCCUUGAUCAUAAAGUGUGAAACCCUAAAAUUUCAAACACUAAACCCUAGAGCUAAAGUCUAAAGCCUACAAUUAUUUAAGAAAUGAAUGAAAUCAAACUCAGUAAUUUAUAUAUAUAUAUAUAUAUAUAUAAUAAAAAAUUGGCUAACAAAUUGUAUAAUAUAUACUAAGUAAUUAUUUAUAACUAAUUUAAGUUAUUUGUUAUUAAUUAUGUGUAUAAAUUCGUACACAUUCAUUCUUACCCUAUUCUGACAUUCAUCAUUCUUACAGUACAAAUAUUUAUUUACCUUAUUUAAACAUUUCGUCAUGCAUACGAUUAAUAGUUGAUCUUCUUGAUUUCUUAUGUCGAAUGUGGGGGUCUGAGAUUAAAUCCGAUCCACUUUAAUCCUUAUUCCGAACGGGAUGAAAUUUAAUUUCAUAAGUCUUGUAAAUAUAAUGUAGACUAUAGAUUGGGUCAAAGAAUGUCGUUAGUGGUAAAUGACAUGUCGAACAAACAAUGAUAACAUGAGCACAUGGAAGACAGAGAGGUUGAAAUUUUCCACAGUCACACCACUGAUCAUCUAGUUUGACUGUGUAUGACAUAAGUCGACGUCGAAGUUGGGGAGUGACAAGUUCCUGAACAUCAAACUCUUAAUUUUCUCUAUUAUACCUUUGGACAUGAAACAUGAUAGACUGUUGUUCAUUUUUCCAUAGUAAGAUAGUAAUAUCUCCAGGAUAUUGAUGGUCAGUUCGUAACAUGUGUUGUGUCUUGGUCCCUCAUUCAAAAACCAAGAUUUGGUUCUUUCAAAAGUUUUCUUAACUAAAGCACAAAUCGGUAAGAUUCGUACUCCCUUAAGAAUAGAGAUCAUAGACUCAACCAUAUUUGUUGUCAUGUGAUCAUACCUCCUGCCUCCAUCAUAUGCCUGAGUCCAUUUUUCCAAAAGGUAUUUGAUUUAUUCAGGCAAAAGCUUGGUGAAAUUUUGAUUGUAGAGUCUACAACUUUGCCUAUAGAGUUGGUUGUUUCAUUUCAUACCCUAUGACAAUGAAAAAAAUGAGAUUUAAAGUUCAUGUCUUUCAUGAAUAUUGAUUAAUAAAAGGAAAACAAAAUAUAUACCCAUGUUUAUCAACGGUCUCUUCAACUCAACAUUCUUGAAUUUUUUUUAUUGAAAUUUGAUGCAAUGUGGCAUAUGCAAGGAGACCAUCUACUUCCCAGCCAACCUCUAAAGAUUGUAAUGUUGAUACUAUGACCAUUCUUCUAUCAGAUAUCAUGCAUAAAUUUUGUUGUGGUGUCACAUAUGUCUGCAACAAUCGGAAGAACCAUAUAAAUGCUUCCUUGGUUUCACCUUCAACUAUUGCAAAAGCUAAAGGGAAGACGUUUCGGUUCCCAUCUUGACCAAUUGCAGUUAGCAAAGUCUCAUGAUAUUUUCCAGUCAGAAAUGUUCCAUCAACUUGGACUAUAUGUUUGUAGUAAUUGAAGUCAUCAAUGCAUGACUUGAAAAUCCAAAAUACACGUUCCAUGAUGUAACACAAAGUGUCUUAAACAUCGUCUACAACAAAAGGUCGGGUGACAUAUUGGACAAUUGUGCCCGAGACACUUUCUUGUACAACCUGCAACCAUUUUGGAAGAUGAUUAUAUGAUUCAUCACAGUCAUCAAAUUUCAUGGCAAGCGCCUUUUGUUUUGCAAUUCACGCUUUUUUGUACAUGACAGAAUAUCCAUAAUGACUUUUAAUUUCUGCAAUUAAACGUCUUAUCGGGAUAGAUGGAUUUGCCUUCACAGAGUUCAUGACAAUAGAUGCAAUUUGGGUUGAGUCUAAAUUGAUGUGAUUAUCAAAAAAGUCGUUGGCAAACAUGUAUGGGGAGCUUGAAUUUUUUUAUCUCCCACCGAUCACAAAUUUCAGUAAAGGAUGCUCUAAGCAUUGGCAGUUGUUGUUGUAAUGAAUGCAACGUGCUACAUAUCGAUCCGUCUUGGACUCAACGACGAAAAACUUAUAACCUUGAUCAACGUUGUAUUUUUUUUAUUGCGGUCAAUAUAGACUCUUUGUUACAAAAAUACAUCCGUUCAGAAAGGUCAUAUUGAAUUAAUCGUCCCGAUCGACUAUCCAAAUGAGCUUGGUGGCUUAAUGACGUCAAAAAAACAAUUUCAUCGGAUAACUCCUCAACAUCUUCGUCUUCACUAAAUUCGUGAAUCAUAUCUAUGAUUAUGUGCUCUUCCUGAAUGGUUAUAAAACUAUUUAUUUAUAGGUUAUAUAUAUAUAUAUAUAAAUAAUAAUAUUAGAAGUUAUAAUAUGGUUUUUAUAAAAAAUAUCAGUCAUUAAUAUAUCAUUAUCCUAUGUACAUUAGAAUAAUCCUCCUAUGUAAAUGAGGAUAGUAAUUCCAUUCAAUGUUGUGCUUUGAAAUCAUGUAGUGCCAAUUGCAUCUCCACAUUGUCAUGGUCAUAUAUUCAACCAAAGUACUUCUGAAAUUAUUUCUCAAUUGACUAACAUAUAUUGCUUUAGGUGUUAGACUUUUAAGAUACUCUUUAAUAUUUUUAAAUAGUGUAUAAUUUAGGAAUAGAAAUGUUAACAUUAUUUUCAAAAUUUGGUAAACUCCAUCAAGAAAACACAGGUCAGGAUAUUCAUGAAAUUCUGUCCUGUGUUCUUCAAUUCAAAGUCCAGGUCCAUGUGAGUUCAGUGCAGUGUAAGUGGGGACCACGCCAAAUUUUCUCUUUCUAUACAUUUUUUGUCAUUAUUCUUUAUUAUUCUUAAUACUUCAACCAUAAUAUUUUUUAAAUUUUAUUUUAUUAAAUAAACCAAGUAACUACUCUACAAAUGUUAAUUUUUCUUUUAUUAAAUGGUGUGCUUUUUAUUAAAAUUCAUCAUUUUCUCUGUAAGUAUCUGCCUUUUCUUUUAAAACAAUUAUAUUUAAAUUUUUACCAUUCUCUCACGACUUCACAUUGGUCUUCGAUUUUGAAUGGCACAGGUGCAGAGAGUGUGGCCAGUUUUCUGAUGCAGUGGUUCACAAUGAAAAAAUUAUUUUCAUUUUAUUUAGCAGCUUUAAAGAUGACUUGCAGAGAUUUCAAACUCUGUUAUAGAUUGAAAAAAUUAUUUAUAAAAUAAAAUUUGUGCUGACUUAUAUAUUAUGUUUUAAUUUUUAUUUGAUGUGGAAUUUAAAAAGGUGUAUAAACUUUACAGAUGUAAGACACAUUGCUUGGAGGCUUCUGAUAUAAAUUUCAAAUAUAUAUAUNNNNNNNNNNNNNNNNNNNNNNNNNNNNNNNNNNNNNNNNNNNNNNNNNNNNNNNNNNNNNNNNNNNNNNNNNNNNNNNNNNNNNNNNNNNNNNNNNNNNAUAUAAAUUGAUAGAUAUUGAUGUGAUAGAUGAUGACAUGAAUAUAGUAAGAUGUAGUGUCGGUUAGUGAAGGUUCUAGAAUAGAAAUAGUCAACGAAGAAAUGUAUGUAUAUUGAUAACUAAUUUUUUUACAAUUUUCUAACAUUAUUAUUUUAAUAAUUUUUAUAUUAUUUAAUUUUUUAUAUCUUUUAUUAUGUAUAUUUAUUUUUAAAUUCAUCACAUUAAAAAUUUUAUACUCAAAGUAUCAUUUUCCAUAAAUAUAAUAUAAUUUCCGCAUAAAUCGUGGCAUUAAUAUAAUAAGGUGGAGUGUCUUUUCAGUGAAGUAUUUAUUUAUACUAGGAAUCAUGAAUCUGUAGUGAAUAUCCUGUGUGCUUCCUAGCAGCUGCAGAAUUAGACCGUCUUACACAAAAUAUCAGUGAUUAAGGAUCUGGCUUUUGUUGUUGCUAAUGUCCCAUGCUUAUAACCAAACAAUCUUAGGCUUCUAGUUAUGUGAAAUUUAAGGUUAAUCUUAUAAAAUUAGUUUAUAGUAUAAAGUUUAUAUCUAUCUAUAAAUUAUAAAAUAUUCUAAUAUUUAGUGGAUGUAGAAUCUUCAAUACACCUUCUACACAUUGUUGUUUUAGACUAUAUAUUAUGGAUAAUCCAAUGAUGAUCUAAUAAUAGGUGAUAUGAUAAGUCCAACAAACAUUCGUCAAUUAUGAUAGAAUUUAAAUGAUUUUAAUACCAUAUUAAAAAAACUUUAAAUCUAAUUCAAUUUUAUAAAAUUAGUUUAUAAGAUAAAAUUUGUACCAAUUUAUAAACUAUAAAAUGUGAUAUUUUUAGUCUAUAUGACUUAUUUGGUGCUUCGUGUAGAGACUGUUAGAUAUGAAAAGUGUAUAAAUAAGUACAAAGAAUUAAAAAUGAUGAGCAAAGUUUAAAAUGAAUGUUUCUUAUGGUUAUAGUAAAAUUUGUACAAUUAUAAUGUGUGAGGUCUAUGUGUUGGUUAGUUUGAUGUAAUAAAUUGGGAAUCAGUUAAUUCAGUUUUGAAAUUUAUUUGAGGUAACAGUCAUUGUAACUGGUUUUCUACUUGUGGGGUCUAAUUUGUAUAAUGGAUAUCAUCAAAACCUAAUAAUAUCUACAAGGACUAUUUUUCUUCCUGCACCCUAUUUUUUUCCCCACAACUUUUACAACAACCAGUUUUUAAGAUUUCUGAAUUAUUAAUAAUGGAGUUUUUCAAAUUCAAAUUUUUAUAAAAGAAUUUCUGGAAUAAAAUGUUUAGAAUGAGAUUUCUAAAACAAUAUUUUUAUUUUUUUUAUUAAUAAUAAAUUAAUUAAAUUAAACGAAGUAUUAACGAAAUGUUUAACCCUUUCAAAGAAACUCUCAAAACUUUUACACCUUACAGAUAAGUUAUAAGUUAUAACUUUUACACUCUCAAUAUUUGAAUUUUAUAAGUUAUAAAAUAAUAGAAAAUAAAAUAAAAUACCAUAUGUUUAUCAUACGAAGAAGGUUGUGAGUAGUGAAGUUUGUUUUAAUAAUUAAUAUCAUUCAUUAAUUUUACACGCAUUAUAGAAAAAUAAUAAAAUAUUAAUUUUAAUAUAUUUUAUGAUUAAUACACACUAAUAUAUUAGAAUAAAAUAUCAUAUGUAUAAAGUAAAACACAAGUCCUUUUCUCAUUCAUGUUUCUCUACACCAUUGCAACGCCCCUUCAAGCACCAUCAAUGACCGAUUUUAAAACUGUUUUUGAAAUAAUAAAAUAUAAAAAAUAAGAUAAAUUGGUCAUACAUAUAUCUAAAUUUUAUUUAAAUAUAUAAAAAUUAUAUAAAAUAAUAAUAAUAAUAAUAAUAAUAAAAUAUUUUUUUAUCAUGUUAAAGUAUAAAUAAAAGUUUUAAUCAUUAGACAGUAAAUAUAAGAUGAUAUGGAUGAUUGUACAUAUAUUUAAACAACUCUUUAACCUCUUUAAUGUAUAUAAAAGUAGUAUAUAUUAUACAAUUACAUUAAAAGAAUGGAUAAAAACUUAACUAAAAGACUUGCUAAAUGGGAAGUUCUUUUAUAAAAUUACAUAUAAAAGAAGGCACCAAGGAUGCAAUUUAAUACAUUUUACUAAGACAGUGAUAUGACAUGAAAUAUGCAGAUUCAGAAAAUAUGAGUAUGUGAAGAAAAUUGGAAAGGGACAAAAGUUAUUUGGUUGCUGAGUUUUUUUGGCAGUGGUAGGGAAUGGAAAAACAGUUUUAACAUUAUUUUCGCAAAUUUUAACCAUUUAUUAUAGAAGAAGGGAAUCUAACUAUAUAGAGAUUAAAUUCCCAACUACUUUUUUCUUGUUUUCGUUACUAAAAUCUUAGUACAAUUUCGUUUUUGGGAAGAUUGGUUUCUCGAAGAUGAAAUUCCGGAAAGUUUUUUAUGUUUUUUUUUAAAUAAAAGUUUUUAUGUUAGACAUUAUUAUGCAACUUACAUCUCAGUUAGGUUGACACCUCCAAAUAACAACAAUCAUUUGUCAUCACAUAAAAAAAUAUUAUUAAAAAAAAUAAAAACAAAAAUAUAGAGAAACUAUAUUAAAAUGCAUAGGUUAAAAAAACACAAUAUAUAAGUAUAUUAUACCUAUUCAUAAAUAAUUCUAAGAACAAACUAUAUGGAAACCUAUUACACCAAUGAAAUUAUUCUCUAUGAAUAAAUCGUAAAUUAGUCAUCUUAUCAGCACGUACAUUCUCUUCACGAAAGAUAUAAGUAACCUUAAACUUGAUUUUCCCACAUUAAUUAAGACAAGUAUUUCAUCGAUUACGAAACAUCCAAAGAACAUUUGUCCUAGCAGUAAACACAUCAUAAAUCAAGGCAGAAUCACAUUCUAAUCUGACAUUAGUAAGCCCCAACUUUUGAGCUUCUUCCAUAGCAUCUAUAACUUCAUAAAACUCAGCAACCAGAGCAAUCUAAAUUUCAAGAAACGCAGAGAAAACUCCAAUAAAUUCCUCCAUACUCUCACGAAAAAUACCUCCACAAGUAGUAAGAUUAGGAUAUCCCCUAGCAACCCCAUCAGUGUUAAUUUUAAUCCAUCCUGAUGAAGGAAACUCCUAUCUAACAGGAAGAUGACAAAGCUUUACAAGUACAAGUAUUAAUACCAAAAAACUUAAUCACGUUGAAAUCCAACAUACCAUUCUUUAUUGAAGUUUUAGACGAAUUUCCCACUAGACAAGUUAAAUCUUUAAUAACCGAAAUAGCCCUAAAAAUCUCAAUCUUAUCCUGAAAAACGAGCAUAAUUCCUCAUACGUUAUAACAUCCAAAUAGAAAAAGUUAUAACAUCCAAAUAAAAAAAGUUAUCACAACAAGUUUAAUCAAUUUAACCAAAUGACUACCAUCACUCUUAAUGAAAGAAAGAAGAUCAUCCUUAUUAGAUAAAUGAUAGAAAAAAUUUGUCGAACCCAACUCCAAAUAUGCAAAACAUUAGAACAUUCAAAAAAUAAAUGUUGAAUAAAUUCCUUGUUCUUUUCACAAAGUGUACGCAUAGAACAAAUAGGAAGCCGCCUAUGAAAAACUUUCCAAAGUACAAGAGUUUUGGAAGGCAGAAUAUAUAAAAACCAAAUAAAUUUACCCCAACCACAAGAACUCAUGGUUCCAAGAAGAAAGGUCAAGCUGAUUUAAAAGUGAAACGAUCAGACUCAUCUAGAAUCCAAUUAGGAAUAUCUUGUUCCCCUGACCUGAUAUCGCUAAAAAGAUUAGACAUCUACGAUAAAGACAAUGAAAUAUUUCAAUCACAACCUGUCCAAAAUUGAGAAACUGUAUCCAAAAUGCUAGCACCAUCAAAUAUCUCUGCAAUAUUUGCUAAAGAAGUAGUAGAACACCAUUUAUCAUUCCAGAAAUUAAUAUUUUAAUUUAAUGUAUAUUUUAAAAUUUGAAAUUUGAGUUGAAAAGAGUUGGACACAUGGAUUGCACAUCCAAUUUCAUUUAUUUUAGAUUUUUAUUUAAGUAGAAAAUAAAAUAAUUUAAGAUUUUAUAUUUAUUUAGAAUUUUGAAAACCUUAAAAAUUUUAUUUAUUUGAGAUUUUUAUUUAAAUAAGGAUUUGUAUUUAUUUAAAAUUUUGAAUAAUUUAGAAAUUUUAUUGUAUUUCAGAUUUUAAUUUACAUAGCACAUUAAAUAAUUUAGAAUUUCUGUUUAUUGAGAUUUUAAAUAAUUUAAAUAUAUAAAAUUUCUAAAUUAUUUAAAAUUAUAAAUAAAUAUAAAUCCUAAAUUAUUGGAUAUUAUACUAAAUAAAAAAUUUACAGUAAAUAAAAUUUAAAAAUUAUUCAAAAUGUCAUGAUUUUGUCUUUCAAUAAACCUCUCCACAAAUAUUUGUAGAGAAGAAAAGAAACAAAAUUAAAUUUAGUCAUAACUCGUGUAAAAUUAAUAUAGAAAACUUCUAUAAUUAAUUGAAUUUGUUUAAAUUAAAUUUUCCAAGAAAACAAUUUUAGAAGAAAAGUAUAAAAAUAAAAUAAAUCUGUUAAUAAACUAAUUUAUAAAAAAAAAUCGUAUUAGCUUCUACAAAAUCUAAUCCUAAAUUUAUGUAUAAGUUUAUUGCAAUUUAUGAAAAAAUAACAAAUACCCAGUUCAGUAAAAAUUGCUAAAAGACUGGUUUUAUAAUUAACAGAAAAUCUACAUUCCAACUUCAAAAUUAGAAUAUUAUAAUUUAUAAUCAAUUAAUAUUAUAGAAAUGUAGAACAAUUUAGUUUAAUUGCCAAAGAGUACUGACUAAAGAAUUUAUAAAAGAAACAUAAAGAAGUACAAUAAUUUAUAAAAGAAACAAAGAAAAUAAAUAAAAAAACUUAAAAGAAACUAAAAGAAAAUAUUAAUAAAAGUGAUGAGCAGUACAUCCAAGAAAACCAGAAGAAAGUUAUUUCUCUAACUUCCUGAUUUCAUUGAAGAUUUUAUCUCAAGUGUUUCUAACGCAGGAGCAUAUUCAGUUGUUAUUUUCUCCCUGAAGGCUUCGGCCCGGCUGAUCUCCAUUAAUAUUUUCCUCUCUCAUUUUCUCAGGAACAGACGUCUCUAAUCCUGUUCUUGGCAACUCAGUAUCCCAACUUUUAAAUUGGCGAUCAAAUUAUAUGUAAUUAGUGUAGGUAAUAUUGUACCAUAUGUACUCAUAUGUAAUUAUAUAUAAUUAAUUUAAUAAUAAUAAUAGAAUCUCUUAAUUAAAUUCAGUAUCUCAAUUCAGUAGUGUAAUAUAAAAAAAAAUAUAUAAUUAUUCUAAAUUUUCAAUUUUAAAAUGAACACUCAUUAAUUAAACAAAAAAAAUUAAUAAUUACAUUAAUAAAAUAAUUAUAUUAUUAUUUCUAUUUAUAAAAUUUAAAUAUUCAAAUUCUCAUUAAUAAAUCAAAAUUUGGAUUAUUAUAAUAUAUCAAUUUGAUUCUAUUAUUUAUAUUUUUAUAAUUUAAAUAGAUUUUGUAUUUAAAUUGAAUUUUAUUUAUUAUACUAUAAGAAAAUAAGUAUAAUUUUCUCCUCUCUAUAUAAAAGAUUUCUCUAUUUAGAAUUUAAAUAUUUUCCAUUCAUAUUAAGAUAAGGUUUUGAAUGUUUUUAUUAAAUUUAAAAAUAAUUUUUGGCUUCAUUAUAAGUUUGGUUCUUAUAUUUUAUUUUAAAAUUUCUAGAUUCAGAAUUAUUGUUUUGUAUUUUUACUUUUUAAUUAAAUUCAAACGACUCAUUAAUUCAACAUAACAUUACGCGGAUCUUGAAAAUUUAAGCUUUUUGAAAUGUAGAUUAAACUUUACUUUUAUUCCCACUCCAACAAUUACUAUUCACACUCCCCUUCUCUUUUUAUAUUUUAAUUAUACAUGCUCGGAUAAGUAAUAAUAGUAACAAAGUAAAAGUUUACAUUCCAACUAUCCAUGAUUUUGUAUGUUACAGUGCUCAAAAGUGAAACUUCGAUAUAACCAUCAAAACAAAUAUAAUGAAAACUGAAAACUACAUCACAUAUAUCUUUGAGGACUUUCAUCAAACAAUUAACGGACAUUAGUAUUUAAUUAUUUUUAUAAUUACUUUGAGGAUUCACUAGUACACUACACCAAGAAUAAUGUGUUCUAAUAUCAUAGGAACAAAUCGAGAGAAGCAGAUUAAACUCUUUUUUUUAUUAAAGUUAGAAACAGAAUACACUUACACAGAAACUUAAAUUACACAGAAAUUUAAAGCUAGAAACAUAAACUACUUAUAAACAGAUACUACUUAAAGAAACUAAAACUAUUUACUUAGCUUCUUGAUUUCUGCGUAGAUCUUACGUCUAUCUCCAAUUGCAUAUAUUCCUAUUGCUUCUAAAUUUCCAUUUCGAUAUGUUAUUAGGGGAAGUGCUUUUUCAUCGAUAUGAUGUUUCUCGAACUCAGGAGCAUAGUGACUCAGCUCUAUCUCUAUAUUGGAAGUGUGUUCCAUAAACACCAGAAGUGUGCUAGAAGUUUCUGGAGAAUAACAGAAACUUUCAUUUUUUUGGCACCAGUUAGUAGAACAAUCCAGAACACCACCUUUUUUUUUUUGCUUCUACUUUAAUUUAAAUAUAAAAUAUUACUUACAUUACUUGUUUUAAUUUAAUAAUAACGCUUAUUUUAAUACUUAUUCUUUUAAUAAAAAAAUCAUUUUGUUUAUAAUUUUAAAAAGUUUAUAUUUAAACUUUAACUAUUUUUAAUUCUAAUCUAUGUAAUAUUUUAAACAAAAUAUUAAGAUGUCAUUCACUAAUGUUUAAAAAUAUUUUUAGUUUCCAAAAAAUUUAGAAAUUUUGCAUUUAGAUCCUAACAUUUUUUAAACUUUUGGUUGCUUCUAAUACAUUAUAUGCAUUGACAUUAUUUCAUGAUUAAAAACACAUAAUUUGCUGAUGAUAAAAAAAUUGAAAAACUAAAAGAAAUAUCUACAGACAUUUUAAAAAUUACUUUAAAAAAAUAAUAUAAUAAUAAGAACGGAGUAUAAAUAAAUCUUUUCAAAGACUAAAUACAAAAAAUGUAUAAACAUUUUAAGAAUAAAAAAAUACAUUAACAACUAGAUACAAAGUUCGAAAAUUUUUUAGAAAUUAAAACAUCUUUAAAUCUUAAAAAUAUUAAGAAAAUUAAUAUCUUUCCUAGAUAUAUAUUUAGAAAUUAAAGGGGUCUAAAUGAAUUUUAUUUAAAAUUUAUUGGAUGCAUGAGCAAAAGUGUAUGAAUUUCAUUAUACGCAUCAACAAAGAGUAUAAAUUUUAAUGUAUGCAUAUGAUUCAAGUUAUAAAAGUUAAAAACAUUUUUCCCAAUAUUACUGUUUGUUCUAACUCCUAAUCAAAUAUAUAUAUAUAUAUAUAUAUAUAUAUUAUUAUCAUAUGAUUAUUUUACUUUAUUCAAUUUUAAUAAAUAAAAUAGAAACUAACCAAGUCAUUUAAAGUCAAGGCAAAUGUUUUUCUAAAUUAUACAUUUUCCUUUGCAUGAAUAAACCCACACAAAUAAUAAAAUGAUGAUAAUAUAUGUAUUGUCUAAUUACUGAUGCCAAAAAUCAUUUUCACCUACAAAAUCGAUCUUUUAACCAUUACUCCUCUCGGAGUUUUAAUUUGAUACAAAUUUUUCCUGUAAUAUAUCAUUUUUUAUAUGCGACUGAAUUAAUUUUUUAAAUCCAAUUUUACUCUUGUUACGUAUUUGUUUACAAAUGUUAAUAUUCAGAAGUCACAUAAUUAAUUAUGAAUAUUGAUAUCCGGAAGUGUCAACUUUGCAUAUGGAUAUUGGCAUUCGGAAGAGUCAGCUUUGUCUAUGGAUAUUGGCAUCCGGAAGUGUCAGUUUUACCUACGAAUAUUGGCAUCCGGAACUAGCACUCUUUGACUACGGACAUCUUUAUCCAGAAGGCACCAUCAUGCUUCCGGAUAUACAUAUCUGGAAGCAAAUCAUCUUGAACUUUAUGUUUGGGCAGUGUGAUAUUUUGCUACUUUUAAUGGAUUAAAACCAUUAAACCAAACCAAACACUAAUUUGAUCAUGCGCAAGGUCGACUACCAGUAAGGCAUAGUAAGGCUUGCAUGAUUUGGUGUAGAAAAUUUUACUUAUCAGUAUUCUUUUGUUCAUUGCUAAGAGUUAAGAUAUCAUGCAUCAAUUGACUCGUCCUUAGGUUUUGACGGAAGGAAGAUCGUUUUGGCCUCUUGGAAAAAGGUUAGUGAGCCUCGCGAUAUCGGGGUAUUGGAAUUAUGAUCUAAGGAUUUUUAACUUGGCUUUGUUAGGAAAGUGGAUUUGAAGGUUGGGUUCGGAUAAGAGUGGUUAAAAGGUUAAAAGACGACGGUUAUUUUCAAUUUUAAACGGCGCGCAUUUGAUGUACACGUAGUCUUAAAUCCAAUAGAUAAGAAUAUGGCUAUUUAGCCGCAUUAGUAAAUACGAUUUAUAAAUGCGACUAUUGUAAAUAGCCGCAUUCUUAUUUAAAAAAAUAAAAAAAAUAAAAAACGCUAAAUCCUAAACCUUAACCUAAACAUUAAAAUAAAAAUUUAAAAUUUAAAACACCAUCAACCUUGUGCGUGAAAGGCAGCAACGACGACAACAGUGGAGGCAGCAACAGCAGCGGUAGCAGACGCGACAACAGAGACAUAAACGACGGCGGCAGCAAACGCGAAGACAGCGACGGAGCAAAGCAAAAACCCACACAAGUAGUAACAAAAUGCAAUAAACACAAAGUAAGAGAAACGAAAAAAUUUAUAAACCAUUAGUGAAGAAGAAAGAGAGCUCCAACGAACUUAUAAUGACACGAGAAGACAAUGAAGCUCGCAAAAGAAGAGAGGAACACCAUAACAAAAACGAAGAGAAAACGCAAAGCGCUAAGAAAAAGAAAGUAUGAAAGUGUAAGUGACGCGCUUCAGAAUUAGAGUAAAAAAUGAUUUAAGUAUACGGCUAUUACAAAUAACCGCAUUCGUAAAUGAAGUUAAGUUUUUAAUAAAUUCUACUUUAUUUCAUUUAAUAUCUUUAUUUAUUAGGAAGAAAUUGGAUAUUAACCAUAUGCUUUUAAGAUGAUAAUGUCUAUAAGACAAUUGAGCUAAAUUUAGAUAUUAAAAUAAGAAAGUAGAGUAUGAAAGCAUAAGAGAAGUGUAAACCACACCAAGAAUAACUUAUUUCAGUCUGAUUAAGUCUCAUUUUACACUAAAAUUUAUUCAUAAGCAUGAUCAUAAGAGAAGCCAAGUGAACAACUAAUAAAGGUUUCCACGUUUCUUGAAGGGUCACAAACUUAAAACUUGACGAAGUUCUUUUCCUUCAAGCUCUCCACAGUAUCCUUGAUGCUCACUUCCAAAGGAAUAUAUUCAAUCCCCAAGCUCUUUGCUUUUUCCUUCGAAACCUGAAAUGCUGGAUCAUAUGGCUUAUCAUCUACGCACCUGGUAAUAUUGUUCACAAAGUGAAACCAUAUUAGACGACUAACAUAUAACAAAAGGAAAAACUUACUUUACUAACAAACAAGAUGGUUUAAACCUUCUGAUAGAAGAUUAGACGGUCUAAUGUAAACAAACAGACUAGACUAGACUGUCUGCUGUUGAAUUGAAUAAACUGACCAGACUGUAUGGUGUAAAACCGUCUACACCGAUUUUAUCACCAGUGCUGAAUGCAUUUCUGACACCAAAUUCAGUUUUCAAGCAAGUAAAUAAAGCACCAAAUGGUAAGGUACAACAGAUGCGGACUUAUGUUCACGUUCUACAUAAUUGUUUGCAAUCUUGAAACUACCAAAAUAAUUAUACUCACUUCUCUGGAAGUUGCAAUGUUGGGUACAGAUCACGUAAAAUCUUCACAACGUUUGAGAAGUGUGUCACUCUCUCAACUAGCAGAUAUCUUCCAUUAGCUGAAGCACUCUCAUACGCUAGAACAUGGGCCAUUGCAACAUCUCUCACGUCCACCCAUCCCAAAGUUAUAUUUUUAAAUGUUGGCGAACCUAAAUCGAGGAGAUGGAACAGUUUCUUCAAUUAUCUAAGAAUUGUUCAGCCAAGAAUCAUAACACAGGUUGUUGAAAAAUCAUAACAUAUUAUUAGUCCUCUCUUUCAUAUUCCAUUUUAAUGUAUGUUUUUUAUUUGAUCCAUAACAUUAACAUAGUUUGAGUUGAAAAAAAUUAAUCAAGAUGCAGGCAAAUCAAAUAAUAGGCAUUUUAGAGAAUAACGUAUAAACAGUAAUUACCAUCAACUAAAUCUAAGACCAUAGCAGAACUAGUGUUAAGUUCUGGUUGCAAGAGAGGUCCAACAACCAAUGCCGGGUUCAUUGUAACCAAGUCAAUGUUGUUUUCUUUCACAAAUUUCCAGGCAGCAUCUUCGGCCAAAGUCUUUGAGAGGUUAUACCAUAUCUAAAACAUAAAUUGGAAAUAGCAAGAAAUAUGAAGAACAAGGUAACAUAAUAUACAUGACUAACUAUAACACUUUGAUGACUUUUGAAUAAGUGAACAAGGAGUGCAUAAUCUCAAAAUUACAACAAACAUAAUUUAGUCAUAAGAAGCAAUAUCUAGUCUUCACAUGGGAUGCAACUAAAAUAAUUGUUGGUGUUUACUUAUGCUUUGUUUAAGAAACCUACUACUCAGUAUUUUUGUAGUUGUCCGCUAUGCACCUCUAUCCGGGAUUUUAAACCAUUGGCUUUAACAUCAAAAUUUAAUAGGAAAAACAUUAGCCAUAUUGCGGAAAGCUUUUGUGCACUAAGAUGCUUUGGAAAGCAAAGAAUAGAAGACAUUCUCAUAUGAAAGUUAUUGGUUGUGAUCCUCGUGAGAUACUUUGUUCGAUUUUUUCAUAAAUGGUGUUAAUUAAGCCAAUGGUUUCUUUGAAGGAUCUGACUCACAUAUAUAUGUGGAAGUAAAGAGCAAUGUUGCAUUUAUAUUUUUCUUUUAAUAUACGUAUUGCAACUUCCAGAGAAGUGAGUAUAAUUAAAAAAAAAACUGGUUAUACUUUUUAGGCCUUGUUAUACCAACUACUACACUUUUUAAGUUUUUCAAUUUAUGACUAGUUCAUACAGUUUGAUAUAACAACUCAAGAUGCAAUACAUCUUAUAUGAGAACUAUGAUUUUCUUCUUUCUCUUGACUUUUGCAAUAUGGGGGAUUGUUGUGAACUCUAAGUAUUACAAAAGUCAAAUAGUGAAACUAGUGAAGUGAGUAUUACACUAUGAUUGUCAGUUUUACGCAUGAAGUUAUGGACCUCAUUUUGGCGUUCCGUGCACGGUUCAAUAUUUUUAGACAGUUAGUGAAUGCAUAGCACAACGGUAUAUCUCAAUCUUCAAAAACAAUUAAUUGUUAUCUUCUAAAAAGCACAAAACUUGAUCAUACCAACUAUUUGUGUGAUUCUUCAAAGAAGUUUCAUCUCGGUAAUAAGGAUUAACAUGUAAAGAAAGUUUAUUAGGGGAAACAGCACAUACCCCAUUUUCCUUACAGUAUUCUGGGUCGGAAUACCAAGUCUCGUCAACCACAACAUCAGGGGUUUUAGGCCUGUAGUUGAACGAAACUGCAGCAAUGGAAGAAGUUAAAACGACGCGUUUCAGCGUGGGCGACUUCACACACGAUUUCAGAACAUUCAGAGUCCCCUUCAAAGCUGGAUCCAGCAACUCAACCUGAAAUACAUAAAGUAAAAACAAAAUAUUAUACAGCCACAGAUAAAAAGAAUGCGCAAACGGAAUUGCAAACGGGAACAAACCUGCGGGUCCUUGCUCUCGUGAAAAAAGGGAGAAGCAGUGUGAAACACAGCAUGACAACCUUGAACGGCAGAGUCAAAGGAACCUUCUUCUAGAAGAUUCGCCUUCACCAGAUGCAAUCUCUCCUUGGCACCAUCAAGGUUAAGCAAAUGAUCUACCUUUUUGGGAUCAC